CUACGUGCCAGCAGCCGCGGUAAUACGUAGGUCCCGAGCGUUGUCCGGAAUUAUUGGGCGUAAAGCGCGCGCAGGCGGAUCAGUUAGUCUGUCUUAAAAGUUCGGGGCUUAACCCCGUGAUGGGAUGGAAACUGCUGAUCUAGAGUAUCGGAGAGGAAAGUGGAAUUCCUAGUGUAGCGGUGAAAUGCGUAGAUAUUAGGAAGAACACCAGUGGCGAAGGCGACUUUCUGGACGAAAACUGACGCUGAGGCGCGAAAGCCAGGGGAGCGAACGGGAUUAGAUACCCCGGUAGUCCUGGCCGUAAACGAUGGGUACUAGGUGUAGGAGGUAUCGACCCCUUCUGUGCCGGAGUUAACGCAAUAAGUACCCCGCCUGGGGAGUACGACCGCAAGGUUGAAACUCAAAGGAAUUGACGGGGGCCCGCACAAGCGGUGGAGUAUGUGGUUUAAUUCGACGCAACGCGAAGAACCUUACCAGGUCUUGACAUUGAKGACAGAACUAGAGAUAG
This 508-nucleotide ribosomal RNA is filed under the name uncultured bacterium. Its description in RNAcentral is "bacterial SSU rRNA". It matches the Rfam family "Bacterial small subunit ribosomal RNA", at positions 501 to 1009 of the family's 1533-position model. The record is from RNAcentral.